UCUACUUCCUGAUGACGAGACAGGGGAGCAGCCCCAGGGAGACCACUAACAGCUCUGUCAUGUAUGAAAACUCUGAGGGGCUGAAGGAUCACAUGAUGUACAUGAACCUGCCUGCUGGUCACCAGGUCAGUCUGUCACACUGUAGCCACACUGACCGCUGUCUAACUGUCCACACACCUGUCUCUCCUCUCCUGCCUGUCUCUCUCUCACACUGUAGCCACACUGACCACUGUCUAACUGUCCACACUCCUGUCUCUCCUCUCCUGCCUGUCUCUCUCUCACACUGUAGCCACACUGUCAGCUGUCUAACUGUCCACACACCUGUCUCUCCUCUCCUGCCUGUCUCUCUCUCACACUGUAGCCACACUAACCACUGUCUACCUGUCCACACACCUGUCUCUCCUCUCCUGCCUGUCUCUCACACUGUGCUCACUGUCAGCUGUCUGACUCUCCACACACCUGCCUGUCUGCAGACGAGAGGUCUAUCAGGCUCCAGCUGGUUUUGUGGUGAUCAUGAGAUAAGAGACCCAGCCUCUCAGACAAUGGGCUGAGUGUGAGCAGGUUGUUCAU
This 570-nucleotide long non-coding RNA is filed under the name Lepisosteus oculatus (spotted gar). RNAcentral's name for it is "lncRNA (ENSLOCG00000021271.1)". Lineage: Eukaryota; Metazoa; Chordata; Actinopteri; Semionotiformes; Lepisosteidae. The record is from RNAcentral.